This 355-nucleotide unclassified non-coding RNA is filed under the name Hevea brasiliensis (rubber tree). The record is from RNAcentral. Lineage: Eukaryota; Viridiplantae; Streptophyta; Magnoliopsida; Malpighiales; Euphorbiaceae.
AUGAACCUCAUCUGACUGAAAGUAUACUCGUUGACGUGGGCCAGCACGCCUAAAAUGUAUUCCUCUUGGACUACUUUUGUGAACAACAAUCUUCUGAGGAACGGUAUCAUCAACAUGCACAAAAUACUGCUUGACUACAGAGUACGCAGGAUUGUCUUGCAAUGGAUUGGAAUACGUAGGGAGAUCGGAAAUAUAGUCGGAGAAAUGGGGAACGUCUUCAAGGACGUAACCAGCGUCGCCAUGGACGAUCUUCGCCUUGCUACUGUCAACGUUAUUACCUGUUGUGGCCAUCACGAUCGGAAACGAUGACAAGACUUUGAUCUUCAAACAACAAAUCAGAUGGAGGGGGGAAAAU